This 272-nucleotide long non-coding RNA is filed under the name Chloebia gouldiae (Gouldian finch). Its description in RNAcentral is "Erythrura gouldiae (Gouldian finch) lncRNA (ENSEGOG00005000297.1)". Lineage: Eukaryota; Metazoa; Chordata; Aves; Passeriformes; Passeridae. The record is from RNAcentral.
CACCCAGUUAGACAGCUAUGCAGCUGAACACAGCAUACCACAAGUCACCACAUGUGGAAGACACUUUCCUGGCUCCUCAUAUCCUCCUACACUGGUAACAAGUUCCUUACUCAGACUUGGGGCAAGUUAUACCUGCAAUGAAGCAGACCUCAGCUGUCCAUGGAGAUAGUCAAGAUACAAAAUGAGAAUGAAGAUAAGUUUGCAAAACAGAUAAAUAAGUUAUUCAUUAGUUCAGAGGAUAUUAUUCACACUGAAUGGAGACCCUGUGACUC